AUAAAAACCAUGAAGAGAAUAAGUAGCUGUAAAUGACUGAUUUCAGAGAUUUUCCGGUUGGUGCGAGGAAAAAUAUAUGCUUUGCAGUGAAUUACAUCUUGGAGUUUGCUCCUUGAAUAAGUAGGGGAGUACGGGUAUGCCCGUUACAGCUUUCAGAGGUCGGAUAUUCCGAUAAACUGAGGUGGUACCACGAGUAAUUUCGUCCUCAGA
RNAcentral lists this non-coding RNA (210 nucleotides) under Ruminococcus sp. Its description in RNAcentral is "T-box sequence". It matches the Rfam family "T-box leader". From Rfam's summary of the family: Uncharged tRNA acts as the effector for transcription antitermination of genes in the T-box leader family. T-boxes are found upstream of many aminoacyl-tRNA synthetase genes and some amino acid biosynthetic genes usually in Gram-positive bacteria. Lineage: Bacteria; Bacillati; Bacillota; Clostridia; Eubacteriales; Oscillospiraceae. The record is from RNAcentral.